RNAcentral lists this ribosomal RNA (210 nucleotides) under uncultured bacterium. RNAcentral describes it as "partial 16S ribosomal RNA". It matches the Rfam family "Bacterial small subunit ribosomal RNA", at positions 568 to 774 of the family's 1533-position model. The record is from RNAcentral.
UGCGUAGGCGGAAGAGCAAGUCAGUAGUGAAAAUCCCAUGGGCUUAACCCCGUGAACUGCUAUUGAAACUGUUCUUCUUGAGUGAAGUAGAGGUAGGCGGAAUUCCCGGUGUAGCGGUGAAAUGCGUAGAGAUCGGGAGGAACACCAGUGGCGAAGGCGGCCUACUGGGCUUUAACUGACGCUGAGGCACGAAAGCAUGGGUAGCAAACA